CUACGGGCCGCACCAGUGGGGAAUAUUGGACAAUGGGGGAAACCCUGAUCCAGCAAUGCCGCGUGGAGGAUGACGCAUUUCGGUGUGUAAACUCCUUUUAUAUGUCAAGAAAAUGACGGUAGCAUAUGAAUAAGCACCGGCUAACUCCGUGCCAGCAGCCGCGGUAAUACGGAGGGUGCAAGCGUUACUCGGAAUCACUGGGCGUAAAGGACGCGUAGGCGGGCUUGUAAGUCAGGUGUGAAAUCCUACAGCUUAACUGUAGAACUGCACUUGAAACUACGAGCCUAGAGUAUGGGAGGGGGAGAUGGAAUUAGUGGUGUAGGGGUAAAAUCCGUAGAUAUCACUAGGAAUACCUAAAGCGAAGGCGAUCUCCUGGAACAUAACUGACGCUAAGGCGUGAAAGCGUGGGGAGCAAACAGGAUUAGAUACCCCCGUAGUC
This 439-nucleotide ribosomal RNA is filed under the name uncultured bacterium. Its description in RNAcentral is "partial 16S ribosomal RNA". It matches the Rfam family "Bacterial small subunit ribosomal RNA", at positions 339 to 795 of the family's 1533-position model. The record is from RNAcentral.